GAUGAACGCUGGCGGCGUGCCUAAUACAUGCAAGUCGAGCGGACGGACGAGAAGCUUGCUUCUCUGAUGUUAGCGGCGGACGGGUGAGUAACACGUGGAUAACCUACCUAUAAGACUGGGAUAACUUCGGGAAACCGGAGCUAAUACCGGAUAAUAUUUUGAACCGCAUGGUUCAAAAGUGAAAGACGGUCUUGCUGUCACUUAUAGAUGGAUCCGCGCUGCAUUAGCUAGUUGGUAAGGUAACGGCUUACCAAGGCAACGAUGCAUAGCCGACCUGAGAGGGUGAUCGGCCACACUGGAACUGAGACACGGUCCAGACUCCUACGGGAGGCAGCAGUAGGGAAUCUUCCGCAAUGGGUGAAAGCCUGACGGAGCAACGCCGCGUGAGUGAUGAAGGUCUUCGGAUCGUAAAACUCUGUUAUUAGGGAAGAACAUAUGUGUAAGUAACUGUGCACAUCUUGACGGUACCUAAUCAGAAAGCCACGGCUAACUACGUG
RNAcentral lists this ribosomal RNA (497 nucleotides) under uncultured bacterium. RNAcentral describes it as "partial 16S ribosomal RNA". It matches the Rfam family "Bacterial small subunit ribosomal RNA", at positions 28 to 507 of the family's 1533-position model. The record is from RNAcentral.